UACAGAGGUCCCGAGCGUUAUCCGGAUUCACUGGGUUUAAAGGGUGCGUAGGUGGGAAGGUAAGUCAGUGGUGAAAUCCCCGAGCUUAACUUGGGAACUGCCAUUGAUACUAUCUUUCUUGAAUACCUUGGAGGUGAGCGGAAUAUGUCAUGUAGCGGUGAAAUGCUUAGAUAUGACAUAGAACACCAAUUGCGAAGGCAGCUCACUACACGGUCAUUGACACUGAGGCACGAAAGCGUGGGGAUCAAACAGG
RNAcentral lists this ribosomal RNA (253 nucleotides) under uncultured bacterium. RNAcentral describes it as "partial 16S ribosomal RNA". It matches the Rfam family "Bacterial small subunit ribosomal RNA", at positions 524 to 776 of the family's 1533-position model. The record is from RNAcentral.